This is an RNA transcript of Symphalangus syndactylus (siamang), 1364 nucleotides long. It is a transcript of the gene named testis expressed 26, with no coding region annotated. The record is from RefSeq and is a predicted model, not a curated record. Lineage: Eukaryota; Metazoa; Chordata; Mammalia; Primates; Hylobatidae.
GCUGGAGCCGGGGCCCCGCGGCCGCCUCCUGGGGCAGAAUGGAACAGCCUGGGCCCAGGGCUCCGGAUCCCUCUCUCUGCCGCCACAAUCUCCAGCCAACUCUGAAGGUCAAGAGCCUGAAAUCAAGGUCUGGACAAGUCUGCACUCCCUCUACAGGCCCUAGGGGAGAAGUGGUCCUUGCCUCUUCCAGCUUCAGCAGGUGACCCCAGCUGGGAUUCGUAUGCUACCACUAUGAGGACUGCAUUCACGCCUAAAACAGGAGCAGUGCCUGCCUUAAUUCGCCAAAAUGGUAUCAGAAGAUUAGGAUAUACAUAUUCACUUAUUGAUCCUAUUCUCAAUCAGACACAAUAUAGUGAUGAGUAUACUUGGAAAUCACACUCUAAAGAAGAUUUGAUCAAAACUGAGACUUCAAGUGGAAUCAAGAGCCACAAAUCUCAUCUCAAUGAAGACAUUUUCCUGUGGACACUACCUCACUGUCAACAAACGGGGACACUAAACAACUGCCUCCCUUGGAAAAUCCCUGCUUCAAUGAAAGAAGUUAAGAAGGCACUAUCAAAUCAGUUUAUUUCCCUUACUAAGAGAGACUUUGUGGACAGAUCAAAAGCUCAGAAGAUUAAGAAAAGUUCUCACUUGUCUCUGGAAAGGAAAAAGUUACUUCCCCAACCUCCAGACACCGAAUUCCGAAGGAAUUACCAAAUUCCAGCUAAAAUUCCUGAGCUUCAAGAUUUCAGUUUCAAAUAUGGAUGCUACUCAAGCUUGCCCCUUGCUUCUCAGGGUCUAGUGCCUUCUGUGCUGCACAGCUACCUGAGGAACCAAGAGCACACGAAGAAACAGACCACGUACCAAAGUGACUACAACAAAACCUACCCAGAUUUCUUAAUGCUUUUAAACUCAUUUACUUCCUCUCAAGUCAAAGAGUACCUUCAGAGUGUUUCCCACAAAGAUAGACAAAUUAUUGAUCGCUUUAUUCGUACUCACUGUGACACUAACAAAAAGAAGAAAUGAAAAGGGAAAAUAGUACAAAUGAAGAAAAUCUGAAAAUCAAUGGAAGCACGAGGACAUUCCUAGUCAUUUUCUCAAUUAUCAAGGAAAAAUAAGGUGCAAAUAGCUUCAAGUUUUUGGAUUUCUGAUGACCGAUGGCUCUACCCAGACUCACUAUCUGGUCCUGUGGCCCCCACCCAGGAAUUGACUCAUCGCAAGGGCACAGCGUCAAUUCCCUAUGAUUUCAUCUUUGACCCAACCAAUCAGCACUCCCCGCUCCCUGGCCCCCUACCCGCCAAACUAUCUUUGAAAAAACCUAGUCUUAGAAUUUUUGGAUAGACUAAUCCGUGUAAUAAUAAACCUAUGGUCUCCCGUUCAUCUGA